UCUGGAAAAAAAAUCGGCAAUCCAACCAAGCGAGCGCACGACAAAUGAAUAUUACCCCCCGAUAUGCACACAAUGUCCCUAUAUUCAAUAUCCAUAGUCAAUAACAGGAGAUCGUCCGCGCUGUGGUCGUCAAUUGUCGCGAGUUCCGUUGUAGGUGGUAAUAAUAACCGUGUAUCGUAACCGUGAUAAAUAAGUUUUUUCCGGUCGUGCAGUGUGUGUAUGUACACAUCAAUAUACAUGCAUACAUGUGUACAUAGGUGUGCACGUGUGGCACCGCUCCAGACGAAGCGUGAGGAGGCGAGACGAGGCAGGACUGAGCACAAGCGACAGAGUUGUGACGGAUUGUGCUGGAUCUGGUGUGCGUAGCCAGUGCGAAAGAAAAUAGACUAUCUGCCGCGUGCGUGCACUAACGGGGAAAGGCCAACGGCCGGGUGGUGCUCGCAUAUGUCUAGACUCGCGAGUACCCAAAUCCUGGCUACAACACAGGUGAAGAGGGCGGCCGCCGCUACCACCGCCGCCACCGCCGCCACCGCCGCUGCUGCCGCCGAUCUCACGGCGGUGGUGGAUUACUCUACUUCUGCUAAGCGUAUCAAGCUGAUCACGACCACAGACAUCGCGCAACUGACUACCGACGAAACCGAGGCAGACGGCACCGGCGGGAAGGUCGACAUCGUCAUCAUGACGGACACGGCGGCUGCCGCCGCGACCGACACGCAGAAGAGGGCGAAUUUCUCCGCGUUAGCCGUUGGCAACCCCAACGGCGUCAACAAGAUCUCGCCGAACCUGGCGAACGCGAAACCCGGCUCCGCGAAAAAGCUCGUCAUUAAAAACUUCAAAAAUAAACCAAAAUUACCAGAGAACUAUCAAGAACAGACAUGGGAAAAAUUACAGGAGGCUGUGGUUGCCAUACAAACCAGCAAAAGCAUUCGCUAUUCCUUAGAGGAACUUUACCAAGCAGUUGAAAAUAUGUGUAACCACAAAAUGGCAUCAACACUUUAUACAAAUUUAACCAUUCUGACAGAAUCUCAUGUGAAAGCCAAUAUUGAACAGUUUUUGGCAGAAUCAAUGGACAGACAUAUAUUCUUGAAAAAGAUGAAUGAAUGUUGGCAAUCACACUGUAGACAAAUGAUUAUGAUCAGGAGUAUUUUUCUGUAUCUUGACAGAACAUAUGUUCUACAAAAUCCAAGCAUUUCAUCGAUAUGGGAUAUGGGAUUACAUCUCUUCCGACUACAUAUUGUGCUGAACAAUUUAGUACAAACACGCACGGUGGAAGGUCUUCUUAUGCUUAUUGAAAAGGAACGACAAGGUGAUACUGUGGAUCGAACACUUCUCAAGUCUCUGUUAAGAAUGUUAUCAGAUCUACAGAUUUACCAAGAGGCCUUUGAAACAAAGUUCCUAGUAGCUACAGAAAGAUUGUAUGCUGCUGAGGGUCAGCGAUUAAUGAAUGAGCAUGAUGUUCCUGAGUAUUUGGCUCAUGUGGAUAAACGUCUCCAGGAAGAAAACGAACGACUGUUACAUUAUCUUGAUACAUCAACUAAAUGGUCGCUCAUACACACGGUAGAAAAACAAUUAUUGUCUGAACAUAUUACUAGCAUUUUACAAAAAGGUUUAAGCGGUUUGUUAGAUGAGAAUAGGAUUAGUGACUUGUCAUUACUUUACAACCUAUACAGUCGAAUAAAGAAUGGCCUUGUGGAGCUUUGUUUGAACUUCAACAGUUACAUUAAGAAAAAAGGCAAGACAAUAGUUAUAGAUCCAGAAAAAGAUAAAACGAUGGUACAGGAGCUGUUAGAUUUCAAAGAUAAAAUGGAUAACAUAGUCAAUACAUGCUUUCAUAAAAAUGAAAAGUUUGCAAACAGCUUAAAAGAAGCUUUUGAGGCUUUUAUUAAUCAGAGAGCGAACAAACCAGCAGAAUUAAUAGCUAAAUUUGUGGACUGCAAGUUACGCGCGGGUAAUAAAGAAGCAACAGAAGAGGAACUGGAAAGAUUGCUAGAUAAAAUUAUGGUACUUUUCCGAUUUAUACACGGAAAGGAUGUUUUUGAAGCUUUCUACAAAAAGGACCUAGCCAAACGUCUGUUGGUAGGGAAAUCUGCUUCUGUAGAUGCUGAAAAAUCGAUGCUAUCUAAAUUAAAGCAGGAAUGCGGUGGUGGUUUUACUAGUAAGUUGGAAGGGAUGUUCAAAGAUAUGGAACUUAGCAAAGAUAUUAAUAUUGCGUUCAAACAGUAUGCAGGGAAUUUGCAGAGCGAAUUAAUAGCAAGUAACUUAGAUUUGACUGUGUCUAUACUUACCAUGGGAUACUGGCCUACAUAUCCUGUAAUGGAAGUCACCUUACCAAUGGAGAUGGUGCAGUAUCAAGAUGUGUUUAAUAAGUUUUACUUAGGAAAACAUAGCGGUAGGAAAUUGCAGUGGCAGCCGACUUUAGGACAUUGCGUGUUAAAAGCAUGGUUCAACCAGGGUAAUAAAGAACUGCAGGUGUCGCUAUUUCAAGCGCUGGUCUUAAUUCUGUUCAACGACAGCGAUAAUCUCUCAUUAGAGGAUAUCAAAGCUGCCACAAAUAUCGAAGAUGGCGAGCUAAGAAGAACAUUGCAGUCUCUAGCAUGCGGGAAAGCUCGUGUUCUGCAAAAAAAUCCGCGUGGACGAGAUGUCGCUGACAAUGAUAGAUUCGUAUUCAACGCGGAAUUUACAAAUAAGCUGUUCAGAAUCAAGAUCAAUCAAAUUCAAAUGAAAGAAACGAAUGAAGAACAAAAAGCAACGGAAGAGAGAGUAUAUCAGGACAGACAGUAUCAGAUUGACGCUGCUAUUGUCAGAAUUAUGAAAAUGAGAAAAACACUGACACACAAUCUUCUCAUUAGUGAACUGUAUAAUCAAUUAAAGUUUCCAGUUAAGCCUGCAGAUUUGAAGAAACGAAUUGAGUCUCUCAUUGAUAGAGAUUACAUGGAGCGAGAUAAGGACAAUGCGAACCAAUACAAUUACGUUGCGUAACCUGAAGCAAAUGCCAAAGUCACGUUGAAUCAAAUCGACGCUGAUUUUUUUAGCAAAUUGAAUCAAUCGCCAUCGAUGUUUGUUGUGAAUGUAACGGGUUGCAGCUCGAACAGCAGACUCGUGGACUGGAUCUGACUGUUUGGCAUAACCGUUAAAAUAUGUGGACAGUGCAUAAAGAAAAAGAAGAAAAAGAAAAAAAGAAAAAAAGGAACUACAGUGAACUUCCUCUUCUUAAUUUUCUUAGUGCAUUAUGGACACUGAACGAUUGCAAUCCUCUUCAUAUGGUGUGUUGUGUUAUUAUCGAAUUUCGAUAACGGAAGGAAAGAAGCAAGAAAGAGAGAGAGAAGCCACAUGAGCCAGACUAUCCACAUGGAAUAUCCUUGAUAAUACGACGUCCUAGGAUAUAACGAUUUUUUAUGCGACGCAGUUUUUCACAGCAUACUUACAGUUAAGAGGAUGUAAUAGAGGCAGAAUGUAGAAUAACACUGACACUACAAUGAAAAAUAGAAUAUAAGAGUGCAAUUGCAAUAUAAAUUAGUUAAUUUGAAGUGAACAACGCGCGUGCGCGAUGCAGUAUUUAUAAUGAACAUAAAAGAGACAUACUACAUCUAUGCAAUAUAUUGGUGAUUCGAACCAGCAAAAAAGAAUCGAGGCUACUACAUUACUUACGAGACGACGAUUCACUAAUUUGAUAAAGAAGAGCUAUACAUUUCUUGUAAAUGCUGUGUAAAACGUAAAAGUUAAAUUCAGCAACACACGAACGUAAUAUUUGGGUAAAAGUAAAUAAUGCAACCAUU
This 3776-nucleotide unclassified non-coding RNA is filed under the name Harpegnathos saltator (Jerdon's jumping ant). RNAcentral describes it as "cullin-4A, transcript variant X1". Lineage: Eukaryota; Metazoa; Arthropoda; Insecta; Hymenoptera; Formicidae. The record is from RNAcentral.